Molecule: ribosomal RNA, 499 nt
Filed under: uncultured bacterium
Lineage: Bacteria
Description: partial 16S ribosomal RNA
Rfam family: Bacterial small subunit ribosomal RNA
Source: RNAcentral
GACGAACGCUGGCGGCGUGCCUAAUACAUGCAAGUCGAGCGAAGUUUUUCUGGUGCUUGCACUAGAAAAACUUAGCGGCGAACGGGUGAGUAACACGUAAAGAACCUGCCUCAUAGACUGGGACAACUAUUGGAAACGAUAGCUAAUACCGGAUGACAGUAUUUCUCGCAUGAGAGAUAUUUAAAAGUUGGUUAUGCUAACACUAUGAGAUGGCUUUGCGGUGCAUUAGCUAGUUGGUGGGGUAAAGGCCCACCAAGGCGACGAUGCAUAGCCGACCUGAGAGGGUGAUCGGCCACACUGGGACUGAGACACGGCCCAGACUCCUACGGAAGGCAGCAGUAGGGAAUCUUCCGCAAUGGGCGAAAGCCUGACGGAGCAACGCCGCGUGAGUGAAGAAGGAUUUCGGUUCGUAAAGCUCUGUUGUUAGGGAAGAAUGGAUAUGUAGUAACUAUACAUGUAAGAGACGGUACCUAACCAGAAAGCCACGGCUAACUACGUG